UGGGUGUAUGUGUGCAGUGCCAUGAAGCAAUAGUAACAUUGCGAGACCUGAUAUCACGCGGUACUUCCUGGCGCUGAGGCGAGUUGCAAGGAUGGUUUUUUCGCUCACAGGCGCUAGGGGGGAGCAAGACGACCCCCAUUCAACCAGAAAAAAAGUCAUAUAAGCAUUCCAAUGACUCUGAAGCUGUUUAGUUAAGGCAAAUUAAGCUAAAAAAAAACUUGCAUACCACAAGUAAUCCUGUACA
Long non-coding RNA from Etheostoma spectabile (orangethroat darter), 244 nucleotides. RefSeq lists it as uncharacterized. NCBI's taxonomy places the organism in Eukaryota, Metazoa, Chordata, Actinopteri, Perciformes, Percidae. The transcript is spliced from 3 exons. The record is from RefSeq and is a predicted model, not a curated record.